This 513-nucleotide ribosomal RNA is filed under the name uncultured bacterium. Its description in RNAcentral is "partial 16S ribosomal RNA". It matches the Rfam family "Bacterial small subunit ribosomal RNA", at positions 28 to 523 of the family's 1533-position model. The record is from RNAcentral.
GACGAACGCUGGCGGCAUGCCUAAUACAUGCAAGUCGAGCGAACAGAUGAAGUGCUUGCGCUUCUGACGUUAGCGGCGAACGGGUGAGUAACACGUAAGGAAUCUACCUAUAAGCGGGGGAUAACAUUCGGAAACGGGUGCUAAUACCGCAUAAUAUCUUCUUCCGCAUGGAAGAAGAUUGAAAGACGGCUCUGCUGUCACUUAUAGAUGACCUUGCGGUGCAUUAGUUAGUUGGUGGGGUAAUGGCCUACCAAGACGAUGAUGCAUAGCCGACCUGAGAGGGUGAUCGGCCACAUUGGGACGGAGACACGGCCCAAACUCCUACGGGAGGCAGCAGUAGGGAAUCUUCCGCAAUGGGCGAAAGCCUGACGGAGCAAUGCCGCGUGAGUGAAGAAGGCCUUCGGGUCGUAAAACUCCGUUAUAAGAGAAGAACAAAUUGUAGAGUAACUGCUACAGUCUUGACGGUAUCUUAUCAGAAAGCCACGGCUAACUACGUGCCAGCAGCCGCGGUAA